Molecule: ribosomal RNA, 1411 nt
Filed under: Harttia kronei
Lineage: Eukaryota; Metazoa; Chordata; Actinopteri; Siluriformes; Loricariidae
Description: partial 16S ribosomal RNA
Rfam family: Bacterial large subunit ribosomal RNA
Source: RNAcentral
GCCAAACAACUAGCUUAAACACAUAAAUUUUACCCAACAACAUUAAAAAUUUUAUCUCAACCAAAACCAUAAAAAUAAAACAUUUUUCCGCCUUAGUAUGAGCGACAGAAAAGGCUCUAUAAGCUAUAAAAAGUACCGUAAGGAAAAGAUGAAAGAGAAAUGAAAUAAAUCAUCUAAGCCCAACAAAGCAGAGACUAGACCUCGUACCUUUUGCAUCAUGAUUUAGCCAGCCAUUCUGAGCAAAGAGCCCUUUAGUUCACAACCCCGAAACUAGGUGAGCUACCCCGGGACAGCCUAUUAUAGGGCCAACCCGUCUCUGUGGCAAAAGAGUGGGAAGAUCUCCGGGUAGAGGUGACAGACCUACCGAACCUAGUUAUAGCUGGUUGCCUGAGAAAUGGAUAAAAGUUCAGCCUCACACUCCCCGUCUCACAAAAAGUUACUACUAACCCAAGAGCCCGAGAAACAUGUGAGAGUUAGUCAGAGGGGUUACAGCCCCUCUGAAAAGGGAUACAACCCUGCCAGGAGGUUAAAGAUUAUAUUAACCAAGAUUGCUGCUUUAGUGGGCCUAAAAGCAGCCAUCUAAACAGAAAGCGUUAAAGCUCAAGCAGACAAAAAUCUAUUAUCUCAAUAAUUUUAUCUCAAACCCCUAAUUAUAUCAGGCCUUUCUAUGCAAACAUAGAAGUGAUACUGCUAAAAUGAGUAACAAGAAGGGCACCGCCCUUCUCCCAGCCCACGUGUAAGCUAGAUCGGACCCCCCACUAGCCAUUAACGAACCCACCAAAAGAGGGUAAUACGACUAAAAAUGUAACCAAGAAAACAUCGUAACCCAUUAUCGUUAACCCCACACCGGAGGGCCAUGAGGAAAGACUAAAAGGGGGGGAAGGAACUCGGCAAACACAAGCCUCGCCUGUUUACCAAAAACAUCGCCUCCCGCAAAAAUCAACGUAUAGGAGGUCUUACCUGCCCAGUGACUGUAAGUUAAACGGCCGCGGUAUUUUGACCGUGCAAAGGUAGCGCAAUCACUUGUCUUUUAAAUGAAGACCUGUAUGAAUGGUGAAACGAGGGCUUAACUGUCUCCCUCCCCCGGUCAGUGAAAUUGAUCUAUCCGUGCAGAAGCGGAUAUACUUCUACAAGACGAGAAGACCCUUUGGAGCUUAAGAUAAAACCCAACUAUGUCAAAAAUCAAAAAAGACUUAAACCAAAUAGCCCUGGUUAUUAUCUUCGGUUGGGGCGACCACGGGAGAAAAAAGAGCUCCCAUGAGGAUUGGGGUAAUCCCCUAAAACUAAGAGAGACAUCUCUAAGGCACAAAAUAUUUGACCAUUGAUCCGGCCAUACGCCGACCAACGAACCAAGUUACCCUAGGGAUAACAGCGCAAUCCCCUUUCAGAGUCCAUAUCGACAAGGGGGUUU